This 2889-nucleotide long non-coding RNA is filed under the name Mus musculus (house mouse). Its description in RNAcentral is "SIX homeobox 3, opposite strand 1". Lineage: Eukaryota; Metazoa; Chordata; Mammalia; Rodentia; Muridae. The record is from RNAcentral.
AAAAGGAUCACAGAUGCUGCUCGGGGCCAGCCCUAUACUCCCUCCAGUGCCUGGUCUCCGGUGGACCCGCGGGGCUCUGCAGUUCUCUGGCGGCCGCGCCUUGUAAGCGCUAAGCCGGGAGGAGGGCGCAGGCAGGGCGCACAGCUCUGAGCGCGACCCUACCCGGCUCGGGCCCGCAGCAACCCCGACUGUCCGAGAGCCUCUCCCCAAGCAAGGCUCUGCGCCGCCCUCUGAGCCCACCUCCUGGCCACAACGCUGCCUGCGCUUCUCCAGCCCAGGCCGGAAGCCCUAUGCUGCCUCCCGAAGCCGACUCAAGGACUGGGGACUUGGUGGAUCUAUGGCAUUGGUACCCACAGAGGUCACCUGCACAGAUAAAUCUGUCGCCACCCUUCAACCCUGGCCUACCGGAUCUGCGGGGAGAAAUGCAGCAUUUGAAUUGGGGAGUGUUCAGUCCUGCUCUGCGGGGCAUUUAUUUACAAAUAUCAGCUGCAACCCAGCCUUGAUAACGUCUCAUACAGUCAGAGGACUUUGCGGGAAGCACACUUCCUCCUUGUUUGGGGCUACAGGGAAAGCCCAGGAAAGCGAGUCCCAGAAGGCCUGGGACAGCUACACCCAGUUCACCCAUGCUCAACCCGGAACAGCCGACCCAAACGGUCAGGAAGGUUUGUCCUGGGGGCAACGCCUCUUCCGGGCUCUAGGACAUUGGAAGACAGAGAGAUUGCUGGGUAGCGGGUGGUCUGGGCCUCCCCGCAAGCUGCAAACGAAGGAGCUUGGAGCAGACCGCCAGGGAGGGCGCAGGGGAGCGCAGUACUCAGGCGGAGAGGCCCCGAAGCCCUUCAGGGACUCCGAUUACUUUCCUUUGAACAACAACAACAACAACAACAAAAACAACAACAACAACUGCUCCCUCCCCCUUAUAUCCCCUCCCUUUUUUAGCCUCCGGGCACCAGGCUUCCACGUAAUUGUCCUUCUGGACAGUAAACACAGCUCAGUUGCCUCAACUUUCCUGGUGCAUAAAAGUUCCCGGCGUGAGGGGAAAUUUGAAUAUUUGAUCAGCCCCUUUGAGUGACCCUCAUUAGCCUGGCGCCCUGCUAAGGCCCCACCAUUGCAAAAAAGCUGCUGGGCCCGGCAUUUGUACGCCUUGUUAGCGCUGCUUAAUGAAGCCGCCCCGACGGCUCAAAGGCGGCCUCUGGGGCCGGCAGCGCGCACCUCUCGGCACCCCGCUCUGCCUAAUGAGCCCCGCCGCCCGCUAAAGGCCCUUCCACCCCCCACAUCCUCAAACAAGAGGGGUUUGGCUCCGUCUAGGACCUGAACACCUCCCACCACCGGGCCCAGGAGGGUGGGCACAAACCCAGUCUAGCUGGCUACACGGUGAUCUAGCCCCUGGAGAAAGAAGCCAGCUACUUGGAGUAUGCAAGCUAAAAAUGGUUGUGUGAGUGGGAAAGUAGGGAAGUGGAUUUUACAGCCACUAGGUCUAGCUCACCCGUGGGUACCACGAACUUUCCCCCACAGGGCCAGCUGUAAAUCAAUUAACCAGCCCAGCUCCUUAAAGGUGCAUCUGGACUAGUGUUAGAACGUCAGAAGGGCUGGUACACAGGGGAGGGUCAGCUUUCCACUCCCCCCUCAAAUUCCUUUGCUCUGGUCUCCCCAGGAGGCCUGGCACUUCUCCCCAGGUGGCCUCACACUUUCUGGAAGGUCAACCUUCCAGGCAACUAGAACUCUAGGCCUGUAUUUGAGAAAGGAUGGGCAGGUUCAGUUCACACCCCUCGGAGAAUGACUUCCAGUUUCACACAAUCCCAUCCCUGGUCUCUCUUCCAUUGCGUUUAUAGCCAUGGAGAGGUCUGAAGAAGUUAGCCCAGGAAAGACCACGCUCCUUAGGCAAGACUGGGACCCCAAAAAAACCUGGACGAGAGGGGGAAAAUCCUAGGAAAAGGGAGUGGAGACAGCCACCCACUAGGACAAGCAUCUACUCCUUCUCUCCUCUUCUUGGGCCAAGGAACACAGCUAACUAGUUAAUAUAAGAAACCAUUAGAAACUGCACUUCACUCCUCAGGAAGAGUUGACAUCUCUCACUGCCCUCUCGCCUCCAUUGUUCUUUCUCCUGGACAGUUGGAACUCAAGGUCCCCUUUCACUCCCUUCUUGAGUACCCCUAGCACUUGCUGGGUUGGUGGAGCAGGGAACUCUCGGUUCUCCACUCAGGACUUUCUGGAAGCCCAUCUUCGUAUGCUCACCAGCCCACCCUCCUACGCUGGUCAGAGUGAGAUUGCUAACCUCAAGACCCCAUUCAAUGCCAGCUUUCAACUACUGCUGAAGACCAAUGUAGGUCCUGGAAUAGAAGAACUGCAGAGUGGGGCUGCGUAGAGGAUUCGGCAGUUUCUCGGCCACAAGGACGGAGUUUCCUAAGAAGGGAAAGAAGAGUGCGGGCAGAGAGGAGAGGUCCGAGGGGGAAAAGAGAGGCCUGAGGACGCUCUGGCGGCUCCAGUACCAAGCCUUGGUAUCUUUGGGAUUCUGGGGAGAGUGGAAGGGUUUACAAACUACACAUAAAUCGGUGAACUUGAACCACUGUGUAUCCCGAUUUUGCAUUGAGCCGGGCCCUGCGCACCCGGAAUGCUGAAGUGGCCAAGGGCAGAGAGGGGUGUAUUUGCAACUCGUGGUUUCUUCGGUUAAACAAACCCCAACCCGUAGCCUCAGCAACAACAACAAAAACUGCAAGUGCAGGAAGCAAAAUUAAACAUAAUUCCUUUUAUUUAUCUGUUGCAUUUAUAUCAUUAAAAUAUUUUUGGUUACGUUGUAUAGAAUAGCAUCCACUCUGAUUAUUACCUGCCAUAUCGGCUGUAUUCAACACAGCAAAAUUAACAAUUAAGAAAAUAAAGGCACAUCUUAUAUAU